UCCCUGGUGGCUCAGACGGUAAAGCAUCAGUCUACAAUGCAGGAGACCUGGGUUCGAGCCCUAGGUUGGGAA
Transfer RNA from Ovis aries (sheep), 72 nucleotides. It matches the Rfam family "tRNA". Rfam says of the family: Transfer RNA (tRNA) molecules are approximately 80 nucleotides in length. Their secondary structure includes four short double-helical elements and three loops (D, anti-codon, and T loops). Further hydrogen bonds mediate the characteristic L-shaped molecular structure. tRNAs have two regions of fundamental functional importance: the anti-codon, which is responsible for specific mRNA codon recognition, and the 3' end, to which the tRNAs corresponding amino acid is attached (by aminoacyl-tRNA synthetases). tRNAs cope with the degeneracy of the genetic code in two manners: having more than one tRNA (with a specific anti-codon) for a particular amino acid; and 'wobble' base-pairing, i.e. permitting non-standard base-pairing at the 3rd anti-codon position. Lineage: Eukaryota; Metazoa; Chordata; Mammalia; Artiodactyla; Bovidae. The record is from Rfam.